UGAGCAAUCUGCCCUUCACAUCGGAAUAACCAUUGGAAACGAUGGCUAAUACCGAAUAUGACUUCGGAUCGCAUGAUCUGAAGUGGAAAGCUCCGGCGGUGAAGGAUGAGCUCGCGGCCUAUCAGCUAGUUGGUGUGGGUAAUGGCCCACCAAGGCGACGACGGGUAGCCGGCCUGAGAGGGUGACCGGCCACACUGGGACUGAGACACAGCCCAGACUCCG
This 222-nucleotide ribosomal RNA is filed under the name uncultured bacterium. Its description in RNAcentral is "partial 16S ribosomal RNA". It matches the Rfam family "Bacterial small subunit ribosomal RNA", at positions 118 to 340 of the family's 1533-position model. The record is from RNAcentral.